Molecule: small nuclear RNA, 103 nt
Organism: Rhincodon typus (whale shark)
Lineage: Eukaryota; Metazoa; Chordata; Chondrichthyes; Orectolobiformes; Rhincodontidae
Source: RefSeq, a predicted model, not a curated record
UUUCUUUGGCAGCACACAAACUAGAAUUGGAAUGAUACAGAGAAGAUUAGAACGGCCCUUAUGCAAUGAUGACAUGCAAAUUUGUGAAGCACUCCAUAUUUUA